CGAUCCUUCUUUAGAAGGCGAUUUUCCAGAAUGUGAAGCAUGGAGAGUGCUAAAAAUGGGGCUUUUGUGCACACAGGCUUCAGUUUCUUUAAGACCGUCCAUGUCUGAGGUUGUCCAAAUGCUUACUGAUUUCGACUGUCAAAUUCCCGAACCGAAUCAACCACCAUUUUUGAAAGCCAGCUUGCUUUCUGCAACCACUACUCGGUCAUCCUACAGCAUAAGCGGUUUGGCAUCAAGUGCACAGACAAAAUUUGAAGCAUUUUACACCACCACAGAAACCUCUACUCAGAGUUCAGAUGCACAUCCCAGAAGUAAAGAACAGUCCCACCCCCACCCCCACCCCCAUCCCCAUCCCCACCCCCAAACCAAAAAAAUAAAAAAUAAAAAAUGUGAACAAUGAUGUAAAUUUUGGUUUCCUUUUUUAUGCAAGUCAACUUUCCUAUAUUCAUGAUGACAGAUGAACCUCAUAAAAAUAGCUAGUUAUUGAUUCUGAAAGAAAUAUUUUUGGAAUGAGAUUGUGUUCUUACUCCCUUGCACAAUUCCAUUCUAAUCAAAAGACUGCAUGCCCCUCCUGCGAAAUAGGUUGCCGAGCGUCUCAUAUUUGCUUCCAAAGUGUUAGUCGUGUAGGGCGACAGCGCAGCGUACAUUACUUAAAAUUUUCUUAAUGCGGACCAUGGACACGUUAAUAAUGCACAAUUAAAACCAAAAUAUUGCCAUGAUAUAUAUUUGCUUGUAGGGUUGUUAUACCCCUAAUAUAAAUUUUGGGGAAAUUUUCAACUGCGGUUUCAAAUCUGUGCUUUUAGUAAAUUUUACUUCAAUCUUUAGUUUGUGCCAUCAUAGGUCCCAAACCUUUGAGAUAUUCGCAAAUGCAAUUCAAAAUGAUGGAAAACGUUGAUUCCACCGCCAGUUGACCUCAAAAUUUUUUAAAAUGCAAAUUUUGAUCAAUUUAAAUUGGGACAUUUUUGUCCAAUUCUAUUUCCCGCUUGUUCAUUGUACUAAACGGUUCAUUUCCCUCCUUUUAAAGGUAUUCCAUAUUCUUCUCUUUCUUCCAUUUAUCUUAGAUUAUUUUCAGCAUGAAUAUGGACAGUGAUGUCUAUAGAUGCAGUGAUCCUAUGUAGAUGAAAACCUCAUGAACAAACUUGAACCCAAGAAGAAAAUUUCUCACUUGCCCAUGGCUUCUGGAUGUUGAUGGAUAUAAUUAGGGUGGGGCAAAAUUCUCGAAUCGAAUCGACAAAAUCGGACUCAAAUCGAGCCCAACUGAGCCGAGUUGUUCUUCUCAAGUUAAAUAUUUGAACGGGAAUCUGAAUCGAAAAUCGAUGGAUUUGGUUCAAUUUUCAGUUCUAGAUGAAGAAUCGAAUAAUUGAAUCUCCGUAAUUUCUAAUUUAUUUAUUUUAAAUAAGUCAAAUUAUUUUAUUUUUUUCUAAAUGAAUUUGCUAACUAGUUAAUUUAGCUUAAAUCCAAAAAUAUGAUUUUUCAUAUUUCUAAUUUUUAGUCCAAAUCCAACUUAAUCAAUUGACCUAAAUUUUACGCAAAUAUGUUAUUCAAUGUAGUGCCGAUUCUACUGUUUUUUAAAAAAUAGAAUUGAAACUCGACAGCACCCUCUUAAUUAUUGUGAGCUCACUAUCUUUCUCUUUCAAUAAUUUUAACAAUCAAAUCUAUGAAGACCCAGCAAAGAUUUUUAAAAGCUAAGAUUGAACAUGUGAUUAGUUGAAUUAAUGUAGCUUCGUAAAUACUAAAAAAAAAUUAAUUAUAAUACGAAAUCUAUGAAUCGAAUGAAACCCAACCAAAUCAAAUUGAACCGAAUGGAAUCGAACCCAAGCGGUUCCAUAAUUAAAUUUAGACCCGACAAUUUCAUUUACUAAAUACUCGAAAAUUUUGGGCCCAAUUCCGUUCUUGUUAGAAUCCAACCGAAUCGGAUCACGGCCAGCCUUAGAAAUAACUUCUUUAACUAGUAUGACCCUCCAAUGUGCGAUAGAUCGAAGGAGAUAAUCCCUGAAUUUCUACGUGUUAGAAGAGAGGUAGAAGCUAAAUUAAACACCCUACGUGCAAGAAGUCGUGGUUCAUGGAGACCUGGAUAUUAUGAUUUGAAUGUGAAAUUUUUGUGAAAAGGGCAUGUGCAUAGAUCUAUGUUAAGCUUGUAUUUUAGAAGAUGGGUUUAUGAGUUAGAAAUCGAGUGUUGUCUAUGGUCUUGUAACUUAUUUUCCAUUAAAUAAGAUAUAUUAUCAUUCAACAAUGUUGCCCUAAUUCUAAUUUCUCACAGUUUCCUCCUCCCCCUAGGAGCAAAUGCUUCAAAACGAAAGAAAAAAAUCUAUUCGAAAACUUGUUGUAGAUGAUGCAUUACAAGUCUCCAACAUUUUCAAUUAAACAUAGAUAAAUACCUAAACUUUUUACUAUGUUGAAGCGUAGGUCCCAAAGCUUCGUAUAUGAUUGCAUAGCAAGUCCCAAACCUUUUAAAUGAGUUGCAUAAUAGGUCCCAAACAUUUUAAGGAGUUGAAGCUUAUGUCCCAAUCCUUGAGUCAGAAUAUCCAUUUGGCUGUUUAGGUACCAAUUCCAAAUCCGUUUUACUUUCAAAACACGCAUAACACAAUGAUCCAACAACAAUCACCAAUUAAUGGCAGGAAGAAUAAUUUUUUCAUUGGAAUAUUUACAUUUUACCUCAUAAUUCAUUUGUUCAUCAUACAAAAGCAAUUCCAAUUUUGUUCUACUAAAUGUAGUCAAACAAAAAACUUCAUCAUACAAAAAGUUUGUUCAAAAGGAUCAAUAUACAAAAAGCUAUGUUCUUUUUUGUCCAUCUUUCUUCUUCUUUGCUUGUGGAUCAUUGGGAGUAGAAGUCUUUCUCAUAUCUUUGCCUUGUGUUGAAGUUGGCACUGUAUCCUGCUGUGUAGAGGCCUUUUUCUUUCCCUUGUCUUGUGAUUGAGAUGGCUGUGUAUCUAGUUGUGUAUAUGCUUCAAAACAUAUUCUCUUAUUAUGGCCUAUCCCACCACAUUUUUACAUGUCAUUUUCAUUCUAGUCCUUGCCAUUUUGGUGUCUACAUGUGGCUCUACUUGCGACCUUUUUCUCAACUUCUUUGAUUUGCUUGCCUAUUCUUUUUUAUAGGUUGAUUCAGAGGAUAUUUCCCCAGCUUUGGCCACAACUCAGGACCUGACAUUGGUUGGACGACUGGGUUGUGGAACCUCAGGUAAGCUUCUUUGUUUUAGCAUAAAUCUACAUAAUAAUAUAUGUCAAUGUUUCUCGAUAACGUACUAGACAUUGCAUGCACACAAGGUGUUCUAGUAAGUUGUCAUUUUCUAUAUGCACAUUCAUGCUUCAUCAAGUUCACUCUCUAUCUCCUUCUAUCCCGAUCACUUAUCUCAAACUUUUUACUUCCAGCAUAGUUAGUGACACGACUCGUUCAGAAUUAUCCUAGUGGAUUCGACACGAAUUGUGCGUUAAUGGUAGCUACCAUUUAAAUGCCGGACCCUCCACCAAUACAAUCUUGACUUACUGACUGUAACGAAUUUUUAAAAGAAUUUUGACAGAGUUUCCUCUGAAAUAUGGACUAAAAUCAUUCGUACAAAAAUCAAUUUUCUCAAAUCUGUACAUAUAAUUUAAAAUAGGGUACAUUAGCCCUUCAAACACAAACUAUUCAAAAUAAAGUGCACAAGAAUGAUAAAAUAGGUUCCAAUGUUGCUCAAAUCAGUUACUAUCUGAUAAGAAAAAGUGUGACAAAAUAUAUGAGCUUGUAACUCGAUGAGUGAAUAUUUCACAAAUAUGUAUAUAUUUUCCAUUUAUGCCAACUUUCUUAAAACUGGUAUAUAAUAAAAAUAUCAUCUUAUAAUACCAUAAGCUAAAAUCUUUAUUCUUUAAACUAAAUAAAUUAAGGUCUGCAAUCUGAAAUAUGAUAAACUGUAUAUUAUUGAAAAUCACACCCAAAAGGUACUUGAAAUAACCAAACUCAUGUACCAAUUAAUCUCGAUAUACAUGAAAAGAUUAUUAAAUUUUGAAAUUUUGAAAUUCAAUAAUUUUGAUCAUACGCACGCAGAGUUACCUAAAGACUAUAAUCUAGUCAUACACUAUGAAAAUACAUUCACAAUAGUGCAAAGCGAGUAAAAUAAUCAUAACUGAUCAUACAUUAUAAAAACACAUUCACACUAGUAUAGAGUGGGUAAAAUAAUCAUAUGGGGUCAUACACUACGGAAACACAUUCACACAAGAGCAUAUUAGAGCAAAAUUACAUGGGUACUUUAUGAUGGUUUUAAAAAUAACUUUAGAUAUACUAAAAUAUUUAAUACUCAUAUAACAUGCUAAUAAAAUGAUUUAACUAAACUAUAUUUAACUUUAAAAAUAAUUGAUUGUAAAAUUCAUUUUAUUCUAAAAAUCAUGCUAUCAACUUAACUUAUAAAAUAAGUAACUUUAAAUUUAAUUAAUAUUUAUUUAUGAAAAAUAAAUUUUUUCCACUCACAUAAUACAAGCUCCCGCUUAGAAUGGUUAGUAGGUUUUUUUAAUCUCCUUGUCACCAUUUGAAAUAUGAUACAAGAUAACCAAUUUAACCACUAUAAAAUCAAAAAACCUUUUAUCUCUAGUGAUAUAAUACUUAAACUAAAUUUCUCGAUACUUGAAUAAAAUUUUCAAAUCUUCCUUUAAUUAUUCGGAGCAAAUUCUACUUUCUAGUCACUUUACUAAUAACUAAUUUAUCAAAAUAAGCUUCAUCCAAAGCAUAAAAAUAAUUAUCAUUCGAUCUACUGAAAACUUACACAAACAACUCAACUAACCUAACUUUCGAUUUGCUCCAUAAACUCAUGCUUUAGCUUGAAUAUUUCAUCAUCACAAUCAUUUCCACUAACAAUACUUAAUCAAUAAUCCCAAAUAAGAAUUUUAGGAUUUGCUCAAUAGAUAUUACUUACCUUGAUAUAAAUAUCAUUCACCACUCAAAAAGAUUGGCUUGAAAUCAUGCACUUUCCUUCAUUCUGAAAUUUAAUCCAACAACUUAGAACCCUAGAAAAUUUAACAUCAUAUACACCAUAAAAUAUCUACUUCUUUAUCUCUUUAACGAUUGAAAUAAUUGAACCCAAGUUUGAAUAAAUCAACACUUCCUUCUUUUCUUUCUCUUUUUCUUCCUUUCUUUCCCGAUUUUUCUUUCUUUCUCUCUGCCCCUUUUUGCCCUCGGUUUCUAUGUGUGUGUAUCAAAUUAAAAAUGAAAACAAUGGUUAAACAAAAGAUUAAGCAAAAAUUCUAAUUCUUCCACUUAUUGGGGUCCAAGUUUGUAGUGAAGACAUAUAAGAUUGCAGUGAGCCACGCCCCUACAUAACUUCCUGAAGUAUUUCCCAUACAAUUAAUUCCAUUCAUUUCAUUUCAAUUCACAUAUCCUUUAACUUGCAGAUAGAGAUGGCAAAAAGGCUCAAGGGCUCGAGCCGCUCGUGGCUCGACCAGCAAAAAGCUCGAGCCGGCUCGGCUCGAGGCUUGAUCAACCGAGCCUAGGCUUGGGCGAGCCUGCGCUGGCCCAUGUGGCUUGUGGGCCGGCUAAAAAAGAGAGAGAAAAGAGAAGUAAAGUAGCGUAAAAUGCAGCUACCAGCUCGCCUUCUGAAAAAAAAAAGUAGAAAAAGGAAAAAAGAAAAAAACCGAGUCGGCUCAGCCCAUCUUCAAAAAGCUCGAGUCGAGCACGAGUCUUGAUUUUUGGCUCGCGAGCCGGUUUGGCUCAACCCAUUGUCAUCCCUACUUGAAGAUUUGGAAGCAUUUUAGAAGAGAUACAGUGACUCAAAUAAUAGAUUCAAGCAUAGGAAAUGAAAAUGCUGAUGAAGUCCUAAGAGUGGUUCAGAUUGCUUUGCUGUGUACCCAAGAGUUGCCAGAUAUGCGUCCCACAAUGAUCCAAGUACUUGAUCUGUUAACACGAAAGGAUUUAGUAUUGCCAAUUCCAUCAAAACCCCCCUUCACAGAGGAAUUCUUGAUCGAUAUAUCCGUAUUGGCUGCCUCUCAAUCACAUUACUCUUCUGCAUCAGUGGAUUCUUGUAUAUUCUAUGACACGUAGAGUCGCCUCAUUUCGUGGAAAUUUUUUCCUUCAAGAUCACAAGACACAAAAUAAGUAUUGCUCAUGUAAGGCAAGGUGAGUAUUGCUUUCGCUAACUUGGCUUGAUUAUCACACAUAUUCAAUACAUAUUCAAUACCUAUUAUGUGUGAUAAUCAGGCCACGUUAAUUUAAAUUUUUCUUUCUCCUAUUUUUAAUUACAUAAUCUUCAAUAAAAUAAUAUUUUCGUAAAUUGUAAACUUCUCAUUUUUUUAUAAUCAUCAAUUUUUUAAAAAGAAAAAUACUAUUCCUCCAUUAAAAAUCCAAAUAAUGAGGGCCAAACGGGUCAAAAGUGUUGCAUGUGUAUUUGUCAUUGUUGAAAAUGGCAUGGUAUUUAUGAUUUCGAGGUUAAAUUCUUGAGGUUUUCGUAAUCUCGUCUGUUAAAGCCAUUCCUUCUAACUUUUCAAUUAAAAAUACAGAAACUUAAAAGUUGGAAUACCUAACCUUUAUGGCUUGUUUAAAGUCAACUUUCCACACCAAUAAAUUAAGCUCCCAUUUAUUUUCGAUUCUUUCUUCAUUAAAAUAAAAAAUAUUAUCAUUAACUAUUACAUCAAAUCAUUAUAUUUGAAUUUUUAUCUUUUGUGUGGAACUCAUAACAACUAUAUUUUUCAUUCUCAUUCUUCUAUAAAUGAGAAACAAACGGGGCGUGCAUAUUUAGUUCUAAUUUUUCAUUCAAAAAAAUAAUUUUUUGAUCGUUACAUUCCUAAAUCAGCUAUCAUUUUUGACUUCUUGUCUCACAGGUGAAACUCACAUUUCUCUUUAACGGUCAAAAAAUCAAUUUUCAUAAUUACUACCGAACAAGCCCUAAAAUUAAAAUUAUACAUUACAUGAGUUCAUCCGAUGCAAAUGAUAUGUUACAAAGAAAAAUCAAAAUUUGUCUCGGUAUCAGUUUAAAUUAAAAAAUCUUCACAAAAUUCUGAGUAGCUUAUGUACAACAAUCAAUUCAUAGGAUGUCAAAACUAUUUUUAACCAUAUAUUCACUAAAAAAGUAUUAUUAAAAAAUCCUUUUUUUUUAAAUAAAAAAUGUAGCUCAAACAAAAACGCAUUCUAAUUCAUCAUAGACGGGAGUUUGGACAAUAUUCAACGCACAACGAAUAACGUAGUAAACAAUUUUCUCAUGUUUUGAAUUUUGCCCCCUCUUUCGUGUCUAAAUUUUCUCGUCUUCGCCUUUCCUGAAUUUGAGACUACACUUUUGUGCUGGAUUUACAGAAAGUUAUAUAUGUUUUCAAUAUUCUGAAGCCGUUUCUUUUGAAUUUUGAGGUUGUCCUAUCAUGAGAUUGUGUGGUCUUCACCGUAAGCGCCACUCCCCCCACCCCUCACCCUUCUCAAUUUCUAUUUACAGAAAAUAGAAGCUUCAUUCUGCAUUUUAUUGUUGAAUGAUUCACAAAACUAAUAUAGCAACUUUCAAAAAUGAGUACAAUCAUGUUUAAAUUUUCAAUAUAAUUGUAAAAUUAAUGUCAAAACCGUCUAUAAAUUCCUUUAAAUUAUCAUGUGAUCUUCAAAGGUCUAAACAUAUAAAACUAUAUUUUGUUUCUCUCAUUUAGAUAAUGCCCAAAAAAUUGGAAUGGAAAUUGAAUUUAACUGUUCUUGGAUCUGUAACUGUAAUGAAACUCGACUAUCGACUUCUCUCUUUCUCUCUCUCUCUUUUUUUUUUCUUUUAUAAAUGUUGGAGCCCACUUUUUAUUGUAUGGCUAAUGAAAAACUAACUAUGUCAUCUCUCUUCGAGUAACGUUAUUCAUCAUUUUACUAGCAAUUUAGGUGACAAUAAAUCUCUAAUUCGUUGAUGCAUUGAACGCUGAAUUAGAAAUCUCAUUGUUAUCUAAAAUGUUGCAUAAUGAAUAAUAGAUAAAUAAGUGCUAUCUAAAUUGGUGGCGUUCCUAGCAAAUAAUAAAUUUUUAUUCUUUUCUGUAAUACAGACAUGUAACAGCGGGUAAAGAGUGAAAAAUGGGAAAUGAUUGGUUUUUCUUUGUAUAUUACUUUGAGAAAGAGUCAAAUUUCAGCUUAGAAGAGGGGCUGUAAGUGGGGGAGAAAAUGGACAUAGGAAUUUCUUAAAGAGAUGCACUGUACAAAACAAAAUUUCACAGAAAUUGUACAAACAAUUCACGAUAAGGGGUGGGUAAAUUUUAUGACAAAUUUUUAUCAAAACGUGGGAGCCACUACAUGUGAGGUUUGGGGAGCAUUUUGUGAGAAUUUAUUCCGUACAAAUAGCUUUCUACAAUUUUUUAAUAUUUUCAAGAAAGUGACUAAUAUCACCAAAUAUUCUUUGGACUUUUUGUCAACCGUACUUUUUUUUUCUCAUAUUUAUUUUUAAAUUUGGAUAGCUUGCACAGCACAAUGUGAUUUAGGCAAAAGUUCAAUUAAGCAGCGUGGGUUAUUUGAAAGUUGUUAAAAAUUGUGGGUCCAGGCAAUUAAAAUUAAUUGUUGAUUUUAAAUUUAAUCUUUUAAUUUUGAAUUAUUUGAAGAACCACUUAAUCUCAUAAUUAUUUUUUGGGGACAGUACAUUCUUGUAUAGUCCCACCUAAGAAUAUGAUAGGUCCCAAAAAUAAACUUGAUCUAUAAAUCACUUGUUUCAUCCAACAAAUUUUUAAAUUUUUAUAGUUUAUUUAGCCACUGUUUGAUUUUUAGUAGAUUUUUAACAGAACUGAUGAAAUAUGCGUUGAAACAUUGUAAAUUUCAUGAAAUAUGUGAUUAAAAAUAUAUUUGAUGAAAAAAAAUAAUUUUUAGAAAAUGAGAAUCAAACAAGAACUUAGUAAAGGUUACAGUGGACCGAGCUAAGUCGUCCACGAGCGAAUCAUUUUUCUAAAAAAUAAAAUGAGUCUAAAAAUGAGUCAGCUAGUGUCCACUAUCGAUUUGAUCUGUUUGUCACCCCUAAUUUGGGGGUAAAAUAAGACGGGAUUAAUGAAAAAUUGCCAUAAAAUUGGUCGGUGCUAGUAUUACCAUUGCAAUAAAAGUAUCAAACACGGAAUUCAAAAUGGGAAUAGAAUAACAUGCAAUUUUACUGUUGGAACCAACUUUUUGACCGUACAUAUUUGAAUCUACAAUAAUAUUUCACUGGGUAGACCAUAGAAUUUGUAAAGCUACCAAAUCUCCACAGAGAAAGGCCAUGGUUUUCAUUUCAUUUUACAUGCAUUUGUCAAGCUCAAAUUGUUCGUGUUUCAAAUGGAUCGUAAUCUUCAUGUUCUUGUACAUGUUCGCAUUAUCUCAAGCUGAUCCAAGGAUUUCCGAAGCUGGGCUUUUCUGUGGCAAAUCAAGGCCGCCUCCAAAUGCCAGUUACAUCCCACUGUUUGUUAAAGAAAUGAGAUUUCUUUCUCAACUCGUGACAUCCCAGAAUUGGGGUAGUUCUGCAAUGAAUAAUAGUGCUAUUUCGAUUUAUAGUUUAGCCCAUUGCUAUAGAGAUUUAUCACACGAUGAUUGUCUACAGUGCUACGCCGCAAGUCGAACCCUCCUCCCCCGCUGCCUUCCCGCCGUGAGUGGCCGUAUAUUUCUCGAUGGGUGCUUUUUGCGGUACGAUAAUUACAGUUUUUUAGGAGAAACAGUAGACCCAAAUUGGGAUAAACGGAAUUGUAACAGUUCAAUUGAUGAUAAUAUAAAUCAGAUUCAGUUCACGCGAUCGGAAUUUAAUAAAACUGUUGAGGAUCUGAUUCAUAAUGUUACAACAAGUGCAGCAUUGAACGAUGGUUACGCGGUGGCCGGCUUGAAGGGUGUUUAUGGUUUGGCUGAUUGUUGGAAAACUUUGAGCACAAAUGGUUGCAGAGAGUGUUUGACGGCGGCGGGUAGGGAGGUGAUGGAGUGUUUGCCCAGCCGGGAAGGCAGAGCAAUGAACGCUGGUUGUUAUUUGAGAUAUUCUACUAAGAAAUUCUACUCUAAUCAUUCUGAUACAACAAAUCAGAGUUCCGGUAAGUUUGGUUUAUUCUAUAAUUUUUUAUAGGUGAUUAAAAUUCUCGUUUGAUCGAAUUCGAGUCGAGAUUUAAAUUACAUAAUUGUUUUUCAUUUUUACUUCUUUUCUGGUUAAGUAUAUAUCUCUCUCAUACUUUUUGAGUAUGUGAACUUGAAAGAGCCAAGUCUGUGACAACAUUUGAGUGAUCCGUGGUCAGAUUUCUCAAUUUUAAGGCUAUUUUGCAGAAAUGUUGAAGACGGGGACAGUUUUGGCAAUUGUUUUGUCGGUAUCGGCCUUCUCUAUGCUCUCUGUAUUUUGCGGUUAUGCAGUCUACAGAAGAUGGAAUAAACGAAAUCAAGGUAUAAUAUCCAUAAUAUUAUAGUUUUCAGAAUCGAUUCAGUUUCAAAUGGGAAUGGUUCUAAUUAUGUUUAAUGCGGGUUUUGUGCAGCAAGAAAAAAUCUUGGCCUAAUUUCAUGUUCUUACAACAAGUCGAAUUUGAAUUUCAAAUACGAAACUCUCGAGAAAGCAACAAACUAUUUUGAUCCUUCUAGAAAAGUAGGACAAGGAGGAGCCGGAGCUGUGUAUCGAGGAACCCUAACAAAUGGAAAGACUGUGGCCGUGAAAAGAUUGUUUUUCAGCACUAGACAAUGGGUUGAUGAGUUCUUCAAUGAGGUUAAUCUCAUCAGUGGAAUUCAACAUAAGAAUCUUGUGAAGCUUUUGGGUUGUAGUAUUGAAGGCCCCGAGAGCUUGCUCGUUUAUGAAUUUGUACCUAACAAGAGCCUUGAACAAUACCUCUUUGGUAACUGUUUAUUUCUUUUUUUACUUCAUUUAAGGUACUCUCGGAUUUGUUUUUCGUGUCUUCUUGAUAUUUUUCCAUCAUUGUUUCCGUUCAGAUGACAAGAAGGUUAAGAUUUUAAGUUGGAAGGAACGCUACGAUAUUAUAGUCGGAACAGCAGAAGGUAUUGCUUUUCUCCAUGGAGGUUCAGAAUAUAGAAUAAUUCACCGGGACAUUAAGACUAGCAAUGUUCUUCUUGAUGAGAAUCUUAAUCCCAAAAUUGCGGAUUUUGGACUAGCUCGAAGUUUUGCCGUUGAUAGAUCUCAUCUUAGCACAGGAAUUGCAGGCACAUUGUAAGAAAAAUUAUUAUGGCUUUCCUUUGAGAUAACCAUCCAUUUUUUGGCAUAUUUGAUAAGAUGGAUUAGACAAUACUAGAUAGCAUUAAGAAAGAAAAAGAAUCUUCAUUAUAUUCUCGAGUUCGGUCCAACAUGACAUACCAAACAUGUUCAUAAAGAUUUGCCAGUUUCAAAUUUAAUGUAUGAUUUCUCAUGAUACAGAGGGUAUAUGGCUCCCGAAUACCUAGUAAAAGGACAACUCACGGAGAAGGCUGAUGUUUACAGUUUCGGCGUGUUGGUUCUUGAAAUGGUGUGCAAUAGAAAAAGUAAUGCUUUUGUCGAUGACUCGGGUUCUCUCCUUCAAUCGGUAUUUUCCAAAUUUUGUCAUUACUGCAUUAAUUUUUUUAGUAUAAUACUUUUAUUCAGUUUAUUCGUUGGUCCAUAUUUGUCAAUGUGGUAUUUUUGCAUAUAGGUUUGGAAACUGUACAAGACAAAUAGAUUGACAGAAUCCGUCGAUCCUUCUUUAGAAGGCGAUUUUCCAGAAUGUGAAGCAUGGAGAGUGCUAAAAAUGGGGCUUUUGUGCACACAGGCUUCAGUUUCUUUAAGACCGUCCAUGUCUGAGGUUGUCCAAAUGCUUACUGAUUUCGACUGUCAAAUUCCCGAACCGAAUCAACCACCAUUUUUGAAAGCCAGCCUGCUUUCUGCAACCACCACUCAGUCAUCCUACAGCAUAAACGGUUUGGCAUCAAAUGCACAGACAAGAUUUGACGCAUUUUACACCUCCACAGAAACCUCUACUCAGAGUUCAGAUGCACAUCCCAGAAGUAAAGAACAGAGUAAAAUAUAGGAACCCGAGUUUUUUAUAUCAAGUGAAACACCAGCACAGCACAAAAAUCGAACAUACACAUCCGACGAAUGCUGCCUAGACAGCCACG
RNAcentral lists this long non-coding RNA (11962 nucleotides) under Olea europaea (common olive). RNAcentral's name for it is "long non-coding RNA (OEUR_LNC003330)". Lineage: Eukaryota; Viridiplantae; Streptophyta; Magnoliopsida; Lamiales; Oleaceae. The record is from RNAcentral.